RNAcentral lists this ribosomal RNA (300 nucleotides) under uncultured Streptomyces sp. RNAcentral's name for it is "bacterial SSU rRNA". It matches the Rfam family "Bacterial small subunit ribosomal RNA", at positions 496 to 795 of the family's 1533-position model. Lineage: Bacteria; Bacillati; Actinomycetota; Actinomycetes; Kitasatosporales; Streptomycetaceae. The record is from RNAcentral.
GCGAACGUCGGGUGCGGAGGCGAGGGAAUACGAAGGGGGGGAGGGUUGGGCUGAAUGCCUGGGCGUAAAGGGCUUGUAGGCGGUUGACACAGUCAGAUGUGAAAGCCGCGGGCUUAACCUGGGAGCUGCAUUUGAUACGUGUAGACUAGAGUGUGAGAGAGGGUUGUGGAAUUCCCAGUGUAGAGGUGAAAUUCGUAGAUAUUGGGAAGAACACCGGUGGCGAAGGCGGCAACCUGGCUCAUUACUGACGCUGAGGCGCGAAAGCGUGGGGAGCAAACAGGAUUAGAUACCCCAGUAGUC